GACGAACGCUGGCGGCGUGCUUAACACAUGCAAGUCGAGCGGUAAGGCCCUUCGGGUACGACGAGCGGCGAACGGGUGAGUAACACGUGGGUGACCUGCCUCUAGCUCUGGGAUAAGCCUGGGAAACUGGGUCUAAUACCGGAUAUGACUCCACGGCGCAUGUUGUGGGGUGGAAAGCCUUGUGUGGCUAGAGAUGGGCCCGCGGCCUAUCAGCUUGUUGGUGGGGUGAUGGCCACCAAGGCGACGACGGGUAGCCGGCCUGAGAGGGCGACCGGCCACACUGGGACUGAGACACGGCCCAGACUCCUACGGGAGGCAGCAGUGGGAAUCUUGCGCAAUGGGCGAAAGCCUGACGCAGCGACGCCGCGUGAGGGAUGACGGCC
This 383-nucleotide ribosomal RNA is filed under the name uncultured bacterium. Its description in RNAcentral is "bacterial SSU rRNA". It matches the Rfam family "Bacterial small subunit ribosomal RNA", at positions 28 to 416 of the family's 1533-position model. The record is from RNAcentral.